CGGCGGACGGGUGAGUAAUGCCUAGGAAUCUGCCUGGUAGUGGGGGACAACGUUUCGAAAGGAACGCUAAUACCGCAUACGUCCUACGGGAGAAAGCAGGGACCUUCGGGCCUUGCGCUAUCAGAUGAGCCUAGGUCGGAUUAGCUAGUUGGUGAGGUAAUGGCUCACCAAGGCGACGAUCCGUAACUGGUCUGAGAGGAUGAUCAGUCACACUGGAACUGAGACACGGUCCAGACUCCUACGGGAGGCAGCAGCC
This 256-nucleotide ribosomal RNA is filed under the name uncultured Pseudomonas sp. RNAcentral's name for it is "partial 16S ribosomal RNA". It matches the Rfam family "Bacterial small subunit ribosomal RNA", at positions 96 to 355 of the family's 1533-position model. Lineage: Bacteria; Pseudomonadati; Pseudomonadota; Gammaproteobacteria; Pseudomonadales; Pseudomonadaceae. The record is from RNAcentral.